Molecule: long non-coding RNA, 535 nt
Filed under: Mustela putorius furo (domestic ferret)
Lineage: Eukaryota; Metazoa; Chordata; Mammalia; Carnivora; Mustelidae
Description: lncRNA (ENSMPUG00000027114.1)
Source: RNAcentral
AACUCUCCCGACUCUGCCUUAUCAUUGGAGACCAAGGGGGCAGUGAUUUUGUGCUCUAUUCUUUUCACUUGUCUUCUUCUUCCCUCAUCAAACGCUGCUCUCAGAAAGCAAUCUGAUAUAGGUUAUUUUGUUUCCUUUCUGCUUGUUUGCAUCCCUCUUAGUGUGAAUUUCACUAUGAGCAUCAGGAGGAUGGAAGUAGAAAGUAGAAGCAAACUUAAGUCAUAUGCUAAGACAGCAAGAAUCACAUGCCAAAACAUCAUCAAUGAAACAAAACCAGAACAGGGGCUGCACUACAGUCAGGGCAAGAAGCAUUCAUUUGGGGAAGAGGCAUACACAAAAAUGAUUCACAGGCAAAUCCAAGAUCAAAGUAUCUCUUCAUGCCAUGAGUCAAGAAGACACUCUUUUCAUCACUGUUCCCAUGUGUGGUGGUAUAUCACAGAGAGGAAGUGGUUCCAUCCAGAGGGAAAGUCUGAUGGAAGGAAGUAACAGAGAAUCCAGAAAUUCAUCUUCCGUCAUGACUGAAUAUACACACACA